This 372-nucleotide ribosomal RNA is filed under the name Triticum aestivum (bread wheat). RNAcentral describes it as "partial small subunit ribosomal RNA". The record is from RNAcentral. Lineage: Eukaryota; Viridiplantae; Streptophyta; Magnoliopsida; Poales; Poaceae.
AUGGCGAUAUCCAUAAUGCAAGGGGUUCAGCCACUCCAAUACCGAGGGCGCACCAUGUGGCACUUCAAUGGAGAAGAUGAUGCCACCCGCUAUGGUCGGAAGGGUCCGGACACUUACGCUGCUUUGGCGAAAAUACUAUCCGGAUUAUACACAGGGGAGGAGGAGGAGUUCAUCCAUGUUAAGCCCAGGGAUGGAUUUUCCAUGUACAACCCUCCCAGCUGGGUGAGUUUUCGUCUCACUACUCUACUCCAUCAAUUCCAUGAAUCCUUUUUCAUAAAUAUUAAUCCAUCAUUUAUAACAGGAAUGGCGGAAAAUCGCCAGGGAGAUCCACAGCCCCGCACCACAGCCAUAGGACCACAACCAGGCCCUUGA